ACCAGGUGUGGUGAUGCAUGCCUGUAAUCCCAGCAACUCAGGAGACUGAAGCAGGGGAAUCGCAAGUUCAAGACCAGGCCUGGGCAACAUAGAGAGACCCUGUCUCAA
Molecule: small RNA, 108 nt
Filed under: Marmota monax (woodchuck)
Lineage: Eukaryota; Metazoa; Chordata; Mammalia; Rodentia; Sciuridae
Source: RNAcentral